RNAcentral lists this ribosomal RNA (519 nucleotides) under uncultured Glomus. RNAcentral's name for it is "SSU rRNA". It matches the Rfam family "Eukaryotic small subunit ribosomal RNA", at positions 591 to 1113 of the family's 1831-position model. Lineage: Eukaryota; Fungi; Glomeromycota; Glomeromycetes; Glomerales; Glomeraceae. The record is from RNAcentral.
CCAAUAGCGUAUAUUAAAGUUGUUGCAGUUAAAAAGCUCGUAGUUGAAUUUCGGGAUCAGUUGAUCGGUCGUGCCUCGGUACGUACUGGUCAAAUUGAUUCCUACCUUCUGACGAACCACGAUGUCAUUAAUUUGGUGUCGCGGGAAAUCAGGACUGUUACUUUGAAAAAAUUAGAGUGUUUAAAGCAGGCUCGCGCUUGAAUACAUUAGCAUGGAAUAAUGAAAUAGGACGUUUGAUUCUAUUUUGUUGGUUUCUAGGAUCGACGUAAUGAUUAAUAGGGAUAGUUGGGGGCAUUAGUAUUCAAUUGUCAGAGGUGAAAUUCUUGGAUUUAUUGAAGACUAACUACUGCGAAAGCAUUUGCCAAGGAUGUUUUCAUUAAUCAAGAACGAAAGUUAGGGGAUCGAAGACGAUCAGAUACCGUCGUAGUCUUAACCAUAAACUAUGCCGACUAGGGAUCGGAUGAUGUUAAUUUUUUAAUGACUCAUUCGGCGCCUUACGGGAAACCAAAUGUUUGGGUU